RNAcentral lists this ribosomal RNA (465 nucleotides) under uncultured bacterium. Its description in RNAcentral is "bacterial SSU rRNA". It matches the Rfam family "Bacterial small subunit ribosomal RNA", at positions 32 to 507 of the family's 1533-position model. The record is from RNAcentral.
AACGCUGGCGGCGUGCCUAACACAUGCAAGUCGAGCGGGGUCCAUCCGGUAGCAAUACUGGGGAAGACCUAGCGGCGAACGGGUGAGUAACACGUGAGAAACCUGCCCCGAAGUCUGGGAUAACCCGAGGAAACUCGAGCUAAUACCGGAUGCCUUCUUCUGAUCGCAUGGUCGGAUGAAGAAAGAUUUAUCGCUUCGGGAGGGUCUCGCGGCCUAUCAGCUAGUUGCGGGGUAACGGCCCACCAAGGCGUCGACGGGUAGCUGGUCUGAGAGGACGAUCAGCCACACUGGGACUGAGACACGGCCCAGACUCCUACGGGAGGCAGCAGUGGGGAAUAUUGCGCAAUGGGCGAAAGCCUGACGCAGCAACGCCGCGUGCGGGAUGAAGGCCUUCGGGUUGUAAACCGCUUUCAGUGGGGACGAAUUCAGACGGUACCCACAGAAGAAGCCCCGGCCAACUACGUG